UGUAGGCGUAUACCAAAGUUGUUGCAGUUAAAACGCUCGUAGUCGGAAUUUGGCAGUUCCGGAAGUGUGCACGUCGUGUGCGCACUUUGCGGGGACUGCUUUUGUGGUCUUGCGUAGGAUGAGGCACUUUCAUUAGUGAACGUCCUCACGCAACCACUCUUUACUGUGAGAAAAUCAGAGUGCUCAAAGCAGGCAUUUGCCGUGAAUGUAUUAGCAUGGAAUAAUAGAAUAGGACUCGGUUCUAUUUUGUUGGUUUGUUGGGACUGAGUAAUGAUUAAGAGGGACAGUUGGGGGCAUUUGUAUUCCGGCGCUAGAGGUGAAAUUCUUAGAUUGCCGGAAGACAAACUGCUGCGAAAGCGUCUGCCAAGGAUGUUUUCAUUGA
Molecule: ribosomal RNA, 382 nt
Filed under: uncultured eukaryote
Lineage: Eukaryota
Description: partial 18S ribosomal RNA
Rfam family: Eukaryotic small subunit ribosomal RNA
Source: RNAcentral